AUAAACGGCGAAGCUCCUAACCGAGCCUAGCUUUAUAUUAUUCCUUACAACACCUGUGAACUAUUUGCCCUUUGGGGUACAAAACAACUCCAAACAUAACUGUAAUGAAUGUAAACAACUAUAAUUAAAUA
Molecule: unclassified non-coding RNA, 131 nt
Filed under: uncultured Dioszegia
Lineage: Eukaryota; Fungi; Basidiomycota; Tremellomycetes; Tremellales; Bulleribasidiaceae
Description: sequence contains ITS1
Source: RNAcentral